UACGUGCCAUGUGUUUCUUUUGUGUGGACUUCCCUACCUUCACCUGUCAAUCACCAUCCACCAAGUCCCACCUUCACCAAUCCCCACCCUCCGUGUCAAUUCUGGACAACCAAUCAGAAAUCGCCACAUCUACUAUAUAAACCCCAACUGUUUGUAACAAUGGAUGUCUGACUGUUUGUGUUGUGUCUUUGACUAUGUUAACCACUCAUUUGAACUUGUCUUGUUUUGUGUACACUUCCAAGGCUUGGGACAGGUAAGAUUGGGGGCUCCUGUACAUAUGCCCGUAGGCUAUGUUGUGUAUAGAUUCACUAGUCCUUAGGGGUGAUUGCCAACCAAUUGUGUUUUCAGUCUGCUAGUUAGAGUAGAUAGGCCUUUUGUUUGUGUACUUGAUGCACUAGAUUAAUUUACUCUCUGGUUUAGCUAGCUUGUUUUUCUGUUCUUUUGGCAACAUCCAGCAUCCGUUGACCCUGGUAGUGUGUGUCUGGGUUGUUGUAUGUCUGGUAGUAGUUGUUGCACCUUUUUGUUUGUUAUCACUAUAAAACACCCGUGCACUGAGUUGCUGCUUUGUCUGUGUUUUUGUUGUUACCAUAUCUACAGCAUUAACAUCUCCCGGCCAUUAACAUCCAGUUACAUACCCCAUGCACCCCUAGACCCAUGGGGUCGUAACACCCAUGAUGCAUCAGUAAGAAGACAUUAAGACAGUGGUCUCCAACCCUGGUCGUGGUGAGCUACAGGGUCAGCUGGUUUUCAAAGUGACUCUGCACUUCAUGAAUCAAUUAGAGCAGUUGAUUACACAGUUAACUCAACUCACCUGGUGUCUUGGGUUUCAAUUGGGUGCUGAUUUUAAGGUUAAGACAAAAACCAGCAGACUCUGUAGCUCUGCAGGACCAGGGUUGGAGACCACUGCAUUAAGAAGAUGGAUACAAGAUUGGCAGACAGAGAGAGAAAGAAAGCAGCAUCAAGGGCUGGAUGUCAGAAUGGGGGUGCUCGUAGAGUAUGACACAGAUCUCUACCCCGGUAUAAUAACGCAGAUUGUUGGCAAACAGUAUGAGGUAGAUACAAUGAGUUGGGUAGGGGAGAACAGAUUUUUCAAUCCUGCAGUGAAAUACCCCGGCGACAAAAUCUGGUAUUUACCGGGAGACAUUAAAGAGGUUAUCCCAGAGCCACUUCCAGUGACAUCGUCCAAAAGGCAUUUCUGCAUUUUGCCAGAAAUCUGGGCAAAACAUUCCAAAUAGUGAUGGACAGUUUGAGUCUUUUCUUCGAAGUCGGUGCAUUCAAACCGUUCGACUGACUGUCGAAUGUUUCAAGUUUUUCCUUUUUUUAGUACUUCCACUUCGUAUCCUGAGUCUAACAGGUAGCAAAAGAUAAGAAUAGGCAUACUGAAGUGUUUUUUGGUAGCCAAAACCUUUUAUUAAUUUGAAUUGAAAAUACCUUAAUGAUGAGUCUAUUGGUGUUCUGUAUAUCAAAUUGAACACCUGAUGCCAUGGGAAUGGGGCAUCAAACAUAUAUUCACAGCUAUCCAAGAUCUUGUAAGGGGUGGCUAUCAAGGUUUUAGCUCUUAAAAUGGAUAAAUUUCUCUAUUUAUAGUUUUCUUUGACCAAUAAAAUGUUUUUAUAUGUGGCUGGCAAACUAGUUCCUGGCCAUUUGCUUUACCAAUUUCUCUUUGCCAUGUUUGUGGUAAGGCCCCAAUAAGUUGAUGAAAUUUUUGUAAUGUGCAGACAUUGCAAUAAAUAUUGAUUAGUUGUUUGUAAGACAUAAUUUUACCUUUCUUAUUUACAAUAUAAUUUAUAAAAAUAAUGCCUUUAUCAAACAUUUUUCGAAAAGAUAAGCUUUCUAUCUAUCAAUAUAUUAGAGUUUAUUAUAGCGAAUAUGAUUUGUUGCAAUGUUUGUUCUGUAUUUUCUGUAAUUACCUGAAUGUUGCUUAUUGUUAAUGCUUUUCGUGUUGAUACUCAAAUCUAAAGCUUGCACAGAUCAAUUUGAGUCAAUCAUAGUUCUUGUUCCAACUCAUUUGAUAUUGACAGUUCUGAGGUGAGAUAAAUCAUAGUUGGUUUGUUGGCUGCCUGUGUAUCCAUCUCUUUUGUUCAAAGCUACAUGUAAACAGUCUUCCUACAGUAUGCUCUUAAUUUAUGGUAGCCUAAUAUCUUCAGUCAAAACGAUGUUU
This is a long non-coding RNA of Anguilla rostrata (American eel), 2161 nucleotides long. RefSeq lists it as uncharacterized. The transcript is spliced from 3 exons. Lineage: Eukaryota; Metazoa; Chordata; Actinopteri; Anguilliformes; Anguillidae. The record is from RefSeq and is a predicted model, not a curated record.